CGGGUGAGUAACACGUGGUCAACCUUCCCUACAGUGGGGGAUAACUAGCCGAAAGGUUAGCUAAUACCGCAUAACAUCUACGAGUGGCAUCAUUUGUAGAUCAAAGGAGCAAUCCGCUGAGGACGGGACCGCGUCCCAUUAGUUAGUUGGUGGGGUAAUGGCCUACCAAGACUCCGAUGGGUAGCUGGUUUGAGAGAGCGACCAGCCACACUGGGACUGAGAAACGGCCCAG
This 232-nucleotide ribosomal RNA is filed under the name uncultured bacterium. Its description in RNAcentral is "partial 16S ribosomal RNA". It matches the Rfam family "Bacterial small subunit ribosomal RNA", at positions 103 to 334 of the family's 1533-position model. The record is from RNAcentral.